GUGUGGAAGAGCCUUCAAGUAGAAGGACUCCACUUUUGCACCAACACAUCUCCAGGAGCCAUCACAUGGCGUGUGGAGUAAAGGAAAUGCAUGGAAUAAUAGAGAGGAAUUAAGAGUCCAAUGUGAAAUGGACUCUUCCAUUUCAUCGCCCAAAAUAAUGUGGCGUCCACAUAAAUUAUGGCAUGGAGUUCCUUCUCAGAGAAGGACUCCUCCUCUUCCAUACCCACAAAUCCCAAGGCACC
Molecule: long non-coding RNA, 242 nt
Filed under: Elaeis guineensis (African oil palm)
Lineage: Eukaryota; Viridiplantae; Streptophyta; Magnoliopsida; Arecales; Arecaceae
Description: long non-coding RNA (EGUI_LNC035886)
Source: RNAcentral